GUCGAGAAUCUUUCACAAUGGGGGCAACCCUGAUGGAGCGACGCCGCGUGGAGGAUAAGGUCUUCGGAUUGUAAACUCCUGUCAUGCGUGAACAAGGUUGCUUGGUUAAUACCUGGGCAAAUUGAUGGUAACGCAAGAGGAAGAGACGGCUAACUCUGUGCCAGCAGCCGCGGUAAUACAGAGGUCUCAAGCGUUGUUCGGAAUCACUGGGCGUAAAGGGUGCGUAGGUGGCGUGGUAAGUCAGAUGUGAAAGCCCGGGGCUCAACCUCGGAACUGCAUCCGAGACUGCCAUGCUAGAGUACUGGAGAGGUGACUAGAAUUCUCGGUGUAGCAGUGAAAUGCGUAGAUAUCGAGAGGAAUACCAAAGGCGUAGGCAGGUCACUGGACAGUUACUGACACUGAGGCACGAAGGCCAGGGGAGCGAACGGGAUUAGAAACCCGUGUAGUCC
Molecule: ribosomal RNA, 449 nt
Filed under: uncultured bacterium
Lineage: Bacteria
Description: partial 16S ribosomal RNA
Rfam family: Bacterial small subunit ribosomal RNA
Source: RNAcentral